This 302-nucleotide ribosomal RNA is filed under the name Ephyrina figueirai. Its description in RNAcentral is "partial 16S ribosomal RNA". Lineage: Eukaryota; Metazoa; Arthropoda; Malacostraca; Decapoda; Oplophoridae. The record is from RNAcentral.
CACGCUGUUAUCCCUAAAGUAACCUACUCUUAUAAUCCUUAAUAAAGGAUCAAUCUAUACUAAAUACUUUUAUCUCUAUUAACAAACAGUUACACUUAUAUUUUCAUCGCCCCAACGCAACAAAGUGAAGGUACCUUUAUUUAAACUUAAAUUUAAAAACCACCUUACCUAUGUAAAGUUUUAUAGGGUCUUAUCUUCCCACUAAGAAAUCUAAGCCUUUUCACUUAAAAGUUAAAUUCAAUUUUUAUAAAAAAGACAGACUACUUCUUGUGCGACCAUUCAUUCCAGCCUCCAAUUAAGAG